RNAcentral lists this ribosomal RNA (266 nucleotides) under uncultured bacterium. RNAcentral's name for it is "partial 16S ribosomal RNA". It matches the Rfam family "Bacterial small subunit ribosomal RNA", at positions 563 to 828 of the family's 1533-position model. The record is from RNAcentral.
AAGGGUCCGUAGGCGGCCUUAUAAGUCAGUGGUGAAAUCUCCUAGCUCAACUAGGAAACUGCCAUUGAUACUGUAGGGCUUGAAUUWUUAGGAAGUAACUAGAAUAUGUAGUGUAGCGGUGAAAUGCUUAGAUAUUACAUGGAAUACCAAUUGCGAAGGCAGGUUACUACUAAUGGAUUGACGCUGAUGGACGAAAGCGUGGGUAGCGAACAGGAUUAGAUACCCUGGUAGUCCACGCCGUAAACGAUGGAUACUAGCUGUUCGGA